Molecule: ribosomal RNA, 1554 nt
Filed under: human metagenome
Description: bacterial LSU rRNA
Rfam family: Bacterial large subunit ribosomal RNA
Source: RNAcentral
CUAAAUACUACCCAGUGACCGAUAGCGUAUAGUACUGUGAAGGAAAGGUGAAAAGCACCCCGGGAGGGGAGUGAAAAAGAACCUGAAACCCUGUGCCUACAAGCACCUAGAGCACGUCAAUGUGUGAUAGGGUACUUUUUGUAGAACGGUCCGGCGAGCGAUUGUAUGCAGCAAGGUUAAGGACUUAAGGUCUGGAGCCGAAGCGAAAGCGAGUUUGAAAAGGGCGUUAAGUUGCAUACAAUGGGCCCGAAACCGGGUGACCUACCCAUGGUCAGGUUGAAGUGGAAGUAAAAUUCCAUGGAGGACCGAACCGACCUCCGUUGAAAAGGCGGCGGAUGAACUGUGGGUAGCGGAGAAAUUCCAAUCGAACCCGGAGAUAGCUGGUUCUCCCCGAAAUAGUUUUAGGACUAGCCUCAAGUUAGAUACCUGGAGGUAAAGCACUGAAUAGCCUAGCGGCCGAGAGGUUAGCGAAGCUUAUCAAACUCAGAAUGCCAGAGUAUUGAUGCUUGGGAGUCAGACAGUGUCAGAUAAAUGUCAUUGUCAAAAGGGAAACAGCCCAGAUCUACAGCUAAGGUCCCAAAGUCAGGUUAAGUGGAAAACGAUGUGAAGAUACGCAGACAACCAGGAUGUUGGCUCAGAAGCAGCCACUCAUUCAAAGAGUGCGUAAUAGCUCACUGGUCGAGCGUCUUUGCGCGGAGAAUUUAACGGGGCUAAACCUGACACCGAAGCUUAGGCAAUACAGCAAUGUAUUGGGUAGGGGAGCGUUGUAUACGCGGAGAAACAGUAGCGCAAGCGGCUGUGGAGUGUAUAGAAGUGAGAAUGCCGGAAUGAGUAGCGCGAAUGCAGUGAGAAUCUGCAUGGCCGAAAGCCUCAGGUUUCUGGAGGAAGGUUCGUCCGCUCCAGGUUAGUCGGGAGCUAAGGUGAGGCCUAACGGCGUAGCCGAUGCACAGACGGUAGAGAUUCCGUCACCACCAAAAGAGUUAAGCACAGGGACACAUUUGAAGUCUCAGAGCCGGGUGUUGGUUCCGGUAGAGAUCGAGGGAAGUUAGUACCGAAGUCUGAGAUGGAAGAUGGCGAGAAAAGCUGUGUGUAUUUCUGAGGUGCCCGUACCGCAAACCGACACAGGUAGGUAGGAAGAAGAUUCUAAGGCCAACGGGAGAAGGGUUGUUAAGGAACUCGGCAAAUUGACCCCGUAACUUCGGGAGAAGGGGUGCUCCAGAGAUGGAGCCGCAGAGAAUCGGCCCAAGCAACUGUUUACCAAAAACACAGGUUUGUGCUAAAUCGAAAGAUGACGUAUACGAGCUGACGCCUGCCCGGUGCUGGAAGGUUAAAAGGAGAUGUGCAAGCAUUGAAUUGAAGCCCCAGUGAACGGCGGCCGUAACUAUAACGGUCCUAAGGUAGCGAAAUUCCUUGUCAGGUAAGUUCUGACCCGCACGAAAGGCGUAAUGAUUUGGGCACUGUCUCAACAGCCCGCCCGGCGAAAUUGUAGUACCGGUGAAGAUGCCGGUUACCCGCGACAAGACGGAAAGACCCCAUGGAGCUUUACUGUAGCCU